CUAGUCUUAUCGGUGGAUCACUCGGCUCGUGGAUCGAUGAAGAACGCAGCCAACUGCGAUAAUUAGUGUGAACUGCAGAAACCUUGAACACAGAACUUUCGAAUGCACAUUGCGCCAUUGGAGUGACAUCCAUUGGCACGCCUGGUUCAGGGUCGCAAC
This 159-nucleotide ribosomal RNA is filed under the name Globodera rostochiensis. RNAcentral describes it as "5.8S ribosomal RNA". It matches the Rfam family "5.8S ribosomal RNA". Rfam says of the family: 5.8S ribosomal RNA (5.8S rRNA) is a component of the large subunit of the eukaryotic ribosome. It is transcribed by RNA polymerase I as part of the 45S precursor that also contains 18S and 28S rRNA. The record is from RNAcentral. Lineage: Eukaryota; Metazoa; Nematoda; Chromadorea; Rhabditida; Heteroderidae.